UUCUCUGCUGUGUGAAGAGAAUAUAAGGCCAGGUGCACAAAGAGAGGGGCAUUCAGAAAACCUCUGAUCUUCAGCUCUACACCAGCCUGAGACCUCCACCUGUGACCACAACCAGCCACCUACUUUAGCAGCAGCAGAGAUGGGGAACACCAUGCAUGUGUCCAAUGAGACUGCAAGGCCCCUGCGCGUCUACUACAGCAAAGACCCGAUCGGAGGCGCUGCCUUGACUAUGAAACACGCCUCCAGGGGCUUGAUGUUCAAAGAAAACGCUCCUGCCAAAUUUGUGCAGAUCCCUCCCAAAAGUUACGUCAGCUGUUCCUCAAAUCAGCCAAUGUAUGUCAUUGUGUAUUACGAGGACUCUGUGCAGAUGACAGACAGUGCCUAUGUUGACACUGAUCACUCUGUUGUUUUCAGUGAUGCAGGGAAAUGCAUGCUCUCAAAUGCUGGUCAAAUUUCAGUGGAUUAGCCUGAAAGACACAGCCAGUGUCACCAUGCUGUACCACGCUGUGCAAAAGCUGAAGAUCUUUCAGUGACCGAAAGACUUCCACUUAUAUCACAGCAGACAUGAUUGGCAUUUGGUGGAUGGUGUUCAAAUAUCUGUAAACCUUUCAUCUUUUUUUGUUCUGCUGCUUAAUAAACUGAAGCAAUCACAAAACCA
Molecule: long non-coding RNA, 658 nt
Organism: Anguilla anguilla (European eel)
Lineage: Eukaryota; Metazoa; Chordata; Actinopteri; Anguilliformes; Anguillidae
Exons: 3
Source: RefSeq, a predicted model, not a curated record